RNAcentral lists this ribosomal RNA (387 nucleotides) under uncultured bacterium. RNAcentral's name for it is "bacterial SSU rRNA". It matches the Rfam family "Bacterial small subunit ribosomal RNA", at positions 29 to 417 of the family's 1533-position model. The record is from RNAcentral.
AUUGAACGCUGGCGGCAGGCCUAACACAUGCAAGUCGAACGGCAGCACGGGAGCAAUCCUGGUGGCGAGUGGCGAACGGGUGAGUAAUAUAUCGGAACGUGCCCAGUCGUGGGGGAUAACGUAGCGAAAGCUACGCUAAUACCGCAUACGAUCUAUGGAUGAAAGCGGGGGAUCGCAAGACCUCGCGCGAUUGGAGCGGCCGAUAUCAGAUUAGGUAGUUGGUGAGGUAAAGGCUCACCAAGCCGACGAUCUGUAGCUGGUCUGAGAGGACGACCAGCCACACUGGGACUGAGACACGGCCCAGACUCCUACGGGAGGCAGCAGUGGGGAAUUUUGGACAAUGGGCGCAAGCCUGAUCCAGCAAUGCCGCGUGCAGGAUGAAGGCCU